AGUGAACGCUGGCGGUAGGCCUAACACAUGCAAGUCGAACGGCAGCACAGGAGAGCUUGCUCUCUGGGUGGCGAGUGGCGGACGGGUGAGGAAUACAUCGGAAUCUACUCUGUCGUGGGGGAUAACGUAGGGAAACUUACGCUAAUACCGCAUACGACCUACGGGUGAAAGCAGGGGACCUUCGGGCCUUGCGCGAUUGAAUGAGCCGAUGUCGGAUUAGCUAGUUGGCGGGGUAAAGGCCCACCAAGGCGACGAUCCGUAGCUGGUCUGGGAGGAUGAUCAGCCAGACUGGAACUGAGACACGGUCCAGACUCCUACGGGAGGCAGCAGUGGGGAAUAUUGGACAAUGGGCGCAAGCCUGAUCCAGCCAUACCGCGUGGGUGAAGAAGGCCUUCGGGUUGUAAAGCCCUUUUGUUGGGAAAGAAAUCCAGCUGGCUAAUACCCGGUUGGGAUGACGGUACCCAAAGAAUAAGCACCGGCUAACUUCGUGCCAGCAGCAGCCGCAG
This 506-nucleotide ribosomal RNA is filed under the name uncultured bacterium. RNAcentral describes it as "partial 16S ribosomal RNA". It matches the Rfam family "Bacterial small subunit ribosomal RNA", at positions 29 to 523 of the family's 1533-position model. The record is from RNAcentral.